Molecule: small nuclear RNA, 129 nt
Organism: Protopterus annectens (West African lungfish)
Lineage: Eukaryota; Metazoa; Chordata; Ceratodontiformes; Protopteridae
Product: U4 spliceosomal RNA
Exons: 1
Source: RefSeq, a predicted model, not a curated record
GGGUUUGCUCAGUGGCAGUAUCAUAGCCUGUGAAGAUCUGCUAAGGCGUGAUUAUUGCUAAUUGAAAACUUUACCCAAUUUCCUUUGCUUGGGCAAAGAAAGGUGAAUGUUUUUCUAACCAAUGCUUUG